CGCUAUCACUCCUACGANAGGCAGCAGUGGGAUAUUGCACAAUGGGGGAAACCUGAUGCAGCCAUGCCGCGUGUNUGAAGAGGCCUUCGGGUUGUAAAGCACUUUCAGUAGGGAGGAAGGUAGUGUAGUUAACACCUGCAUUAUUUGACGUUACCUACAGAAGAAGCACCGGGCUAACUCCGUGCCAGCAGCCGCGGUAAUACGGAGGGUGCGAGCGUUAAUCGGAAUUACUGGGCGUAAAGCGCAUGCAGGCGGCCUGUUAAGUCAGAUGUGAAAGCCCGGGGCUUAACCUCGGAAUUGCAUUUGAAACUGGCAGGCUAGAGUCUUGUAGAGGGGGUAGAAUUUCAGGUGUAGCGGUGAAAUGCGUAGAGAUCUGAAGGAAUACCAGUGGCGAAGGCGGCCCCUGGACAAAGACUGACGCUCAGAUGCGAAAGCGUGGGGAGCAAACAGGAUUAGAUACCCUGGUAG
This 468-nucleotide ribosomal RNA is filed under the name uncultured bacterium. RNAcentral describes it as "bacterial SSU rRNA". It matches the Rfam family "Bacterial small subunit ribosomal RNA", at positions 328 to 793 of the family's 1533-position model. The record is from RNAcentral.